RNAcentral lists this long non-coding RNA (26560 nucleotides) under Brassica napus (rape). Its description in RNAcentral is "long non-coding RNA (BNAP_LNC022466)". The record is from RNAcentral. Lineage: Eukaryota; Viridiplantae; Streptophyta; Magnoliopsida; Brassicales; Brassicaceae.
UACCACCUUACAAGAUCCGUUCGGAUAUUUUUUACAUUUUGGACCGGAUACGGAUCGGGUUUUUCGGUUCGGGUUCGGUUCGGAUUUCGGGUUACGGAUGUAAGCUUCAAGUAAUAACCUCACGUUAAAAAGAGAAAUUACAAGAAUUGAUCUACUAUUUUGGCAAAAAAAAAGAAUCGAUCUACAAUAAUCUACACUCUAUCUAUUAUUCAGCAUCAACCUCACAGCGAUUCUACAGAUCUCCCCCAAGUGCAUUUCAUUGCAUACAAAUCUGAGAGAUCCAAUGGAUUUAAUUACUCUACAAAGAGAAACAUGAAUCAACAAUUAUUUUGACAUAAAACUCUUCUGCAACAUAAGGAGUUCCUAAAGCUAAAAAGCUGAUGAACUAACAAUCAAAGAUGGAUAUAAACUUCACGAAGUAACAUCAAGUAUGCAUCACAGCGUGUCAAAGAUCUUGAAGGACAUGCAAUUUUUUUUUGAAAUAAAAAAAAAAUCCAUGCAGAAAAGUUGUAACAUUGUUCGUCCUUUGAUUUGGUUGUCUCAUGUAUCUAGCAACACACAAACCAAGAAAACCACACAAGAUUCGCAGGAAAUAUUUUUUAAAAAUAAUUAUAUUUUUUUCUGAAAAAAAGUUAGUAAUUAACAAUAAUAAUGGAAAACCCAGAAUAGGAAAAGUCGUACUUAUCACCGGAGGAGAAGCUGUAGAGUUUUCUGGAGGCGGAGACGACAAGAAGAGCGACGGAUGCGUCACAGAGAACGGAAAGCUGACGAGCUUUCUCGAUGAGACCGUUGCGUCGUUUGGAGAAGGUAACUUGUCGGCUACUUUUGUUCUCAAUCGGCUUGAUUUCAAGUUUCUUUCUCCCCAUGGCUUCUGUCUCCAACAGGGCUUUGCGCCCUAAUUUGAUCUUGAGGUCCGGUUUCCACUAGCCGGAGAUACUGAGUGUUUUAUGUUUUCUUUUUGCUUUUUUCCUUUUAUUUCAUUCUAUUUUUGUGUCCAUAUACUUCUACUUUUCUUUCCUCGGGCAAGGGGUUCCUUUUUUUCUAUUAGGGUCCCAGAUUCGGACCCGUCUAGGUAUAUUUUUUUUUAUAUAAAUUUAAUUUUAAUAUUUGUAUCUUUUCAGUUAUGUUCAUGUUCUUUGUAUAAUAUUUUUCCUAAAUGAUUAAUAAAAGAUUUUAAUAGUUGUAUUAAAAUAGUUGGAUCACAACUAUAUCAAUAGCUCAUGUUUCUGUUGAGGUUGCAUAACUGUACAUUUGUACCAUAUAUAUUUCAAAAAUUAUUUUUAAAGUUUUAUCCUAAAGUUUUGCAAUAUAUUAUAUUUUUUUAAUAUUUAUCUAACAUAAUUCGUCAAAAAUAUUCGUAUCCAAAAAACCCAACUUGGAAUCAAACCGAAAAUCAAAUUCUCGUACUCUAUCAGACCUGGUCCAUAUACUCGGAUGGUUCUUAACGCGAUGUCCGAAAACCAAUAUAAAAUCCAAUCUGCCCUAAAAACCAAACAAAAUUUUCGAGAACCGUUUGAAAAAAUAAUUUUCAAUAAAACAACAAGACAUUUCCAGAGUGUUGUCAACCUAAACUCACUUCCUCGCUUUAUUUGAACGUGGAAAGAUGGACUCCACUCUUUGCUUUCUCUUCAAUCACUCUCAUUGGAUGACACUUAGCACUCUAGGCUAACAUUUAGUUAGUUGUUAACUUUAUAAAAUUACUAGGGGCAUCGGAAUAUUAUUUUUUUGUUGUUAAUUAUUAUUUUUCGGAUGAUAUAGCUAGCUAAUUAUGUAAUCGUCUUUAUUUGCUAAGAACAUUAUUUGGUAUUUUUAUUAUGUUAUGUAGUAAUAGGUGAUAUGCUAACACAUUAUGUGUUUGUUUUUUUAAUAGUGUGUUGGUGUAGGUAUAAUAGUACCUUAUUAGUGGUGGAGUGAGUUUGUAAUGUAAUGCAUAUUGAAUUUCAAUAAUUUUACAUUUAGGCAUUUGUUGAAUUUAAGGCUAAUAGUUUCAGGGUAAAAAUUAAUAUUUUUUCUAAUUAUUUGAACAUUACUUUUUAAAGAUGUUUUGUGUUCUCUCCCUAUAUUUUUACAUUGAGCCGUCACCAUCUAUGCAUUUCGUUUACCUUUCCGUUAUGCUGUGAUUCUCGCCAUCACCGAAAAAGACUCACAUAUGUGCUCUUGUUUUUCCUCACCUUUUUCUCCUCUUUUUCCUUAGAUUUCGGCUCAUGUUAGGAACUGCAUCUCUUUGGGUUGGGUCAGAGUUUAGUCGUCUUUGAAGUUGUUUUCCUCGUCGUUGGCUUACCAUCGAUAGUCCCUUCUCGUCUUAGUUUUCAAGAUAUGGUUUUUGGUGAUCUGACUUCUACAGCUCGAGGACAGCUCCGCGAUUGAAUGAUUUCGUUUUGUCUACCCUUCCAUCUAUGUUCCCUCAUCUCGUUGCAACUUUCAUGGCUGCUUGCGUCUCGGUGACUCUCCCUUUUGCCAUGUUUGCCACUCCAGAUUUGGAUAGUGUUCUCCUCCGAAUAUGCUCUGUAGAUUUGGAAGAUUGUUUUUGGUCUCAAGUCUGGGCUCUGGUUUCUCGGGGGUUGGUUUCCGUUCUCCCUCACUCAGGUUGUUCUCUUCUUCCCUUGCUUCCCUUAGUAUAAGUGUGUGGUAUUUGUCUCUUGGAGUUUUGGUUCAUUCUAUCCAGAGUUUUGUGGUUCUUCACUUGCAUAGACGUCUUGUUUGUGCUUGUUUAGUUUGUGAGGUAAUUCUUACCUCUUAGCUGGUGGUUGUCCUUAUCAUUCGUUAUGUAUAUCUCUUCCUGCUUCGUGGUGAUUUUAGCCUUCUGUUGAUUAUUUUUCCUCUAACCCGCUUUCUUGGUUCUUUGCAUUGGUCUUUGAUCACGCUCCUUUGUGUUCGAGCGAUUGCUUUAUCUCAAGAUUAUCUUUAUACAUUUUUCUGACUUUUGAUUGUUCUGACCAAGACACUCAAUGAUAAAGUGGGGUAAGUUAAUUUUCGUUCUUGAUCGCCUUUGAGCUCUGGUUCUUUAUUGAGUUAGUGUUACUUUGGUAUUUUUUUCUCUAUGACAAUGAAGGUUUUAUGUUUAGAUUAUGUGUUUUGCUUUAGUUUGGUUAAUAUUAAGAUAAAUAUAUAGUUGUAAAUGAAAUAAUAGAAAAUAGUAAAAAAUAAUAAAAUAGCGAAAGUUUAUGUUAUUUUAGCAGUGAAUAAAUUAAAUAUUAAAAUACAUUUAUAUUUUUUUACUUAUUUAUUUAUUCGUUUUGCAAUUUUUUAAACAAUAAAAUAGAUUAUCAAAUUUCAAAUGAUGAUAGUUAGUGUAACUAGGAUUAAAUAGUGCAUAAUUAGAAAAUAAUGAACCAAAUUGCAAUAGUUUAAAAGAAGAAGGAUCUAAAAUGUACAAAGACAAAAAAAAAAAAGGACACAUGUCAACAAACCCUCAUUCCACAUGUCAUAAGAAGAGAUAAAAGUCUACUUUAUAUAUAUAGAUUUGAUUUAGCCUUCAAGUCGCAAUUAUUGGUGAUCGUUAAGACUCUUCACACCACAAAUCUCAUACUUUAUAUAUAACUAGAGCUAUUCCGGCGCGUAGUCGGAUGUUUUAUUUUUUAAUGAAUUUUAAAUUAAUUUUAUGGUUUUAGUAAAUAAAAUAUUUUCAAAUAUAUGAAGAUGAAAAGAUGUUGAAAGAGAAUGAUAACUUUUCCGAUUCAUUUGAUAGUGAAUAGUGAUAGUGGUGUAUCAAUUUGUUUUGAAGUUGGUUAGGUCAAAGAGGAAUAGCAUAAGUAGUUUUCAUUGAUCGAUUCAAUAAAAAUAGAAUAAAUAGCUGAUCGUCGUAAUAAAAUUAAUAUAGUUGAACUUUAAACAUAAAGUAAAUUUGAUGUUCGAAAAAGAAAAAUAUAGGGUUGUGAAAAUAAAUUGGACCCGAAAAUCCGAACCGAAUCCGAUCCGAUAAAAUUAAUCUGAAUUGAUCUGAACCUUACAUAAAUACCGAAUGGAUAUUCUUUUAUGGUAUUUUGGGUUAUGAGUUUUAUCCGAACCGAAUCCGAAUCUAAAUGAAUAUUUGAUAGAACCCGAAAUAUUCAAAAUCCAUAAAGAAUUUAUACCAAACAUGAUUUCAAUUCCUAACAUUUCAUGGAAAUUAGCAGCCAAUAUUUUGCCAUCCACGAUGAUGAUGAGCUUGUUAUGGUUUGCAUAGUGAAUAAAUAUUUUAUUUAUAGAACAUAAAUAAACUAUUAAGUAUCAUCUGCAUAGUACAUAAUAGUUACCGCAUUUUGAAUUUUUAUUGAGACUAUAUUGAGUUAAAACAUUUCAAAUGAAGUAUACAAACACUAAGUGAAUUUUACUCUAAAUUUACUUAGGAUGAUCAAGCAUGAUGAAUGUUCUUAUUGAACAUUUUUUCUCUUGAGGUGUGUCCACGUUUCGUGAGAGUUUAUUUAAUUAUUUAAGUUUAUCAUUUCACAAAUGUUUUAUAUGGAUGUGAUUUGUUUUUAAUUUUUUGUCAAAAAAUUGCUCUCAUAUCAUCUCUUUUAAAUUAUUGUCAUUCAUUAGCAUCGUGUUUACUUGAUUAACGAAAACAACUUAAGUUAUAUAUUUAUAUGUUUUGAAUACAUAAAUGGAGUAUGUUUUAGAUAAUUAAAGAUGGAAAAAUAAAUUCAGAUUUGUGCUUUACAUCAUUCAUUUUUUUCUAUUUUACAGAGUUUCUCACUAUUCACGCAAAUAUAUCUUUUAUAUUUUUAUUGCUUGUUUCUGACUAUUUUGAAACUUUUGGUUCUAAUUAUGUAUUAUUUUUGGUGAUCGUUUUCAAUAAAUUUAUUAGUUUUUCUUGGCUUUAGUUUAAACCAAAAAAAAGAAGAAAAAUAGAUGAGUUACAAUGUUUUGGUUUUAAUUUUUGUCUACAUUGGUUUGUGAUAUCUUGCUUAUUUACAUUGUUUUAUCCAUUCACCCAUGUGCAUUUUGAUCAUAUAGACUAAGAUUUAGCCAUGUUUAGGUUGCAUUUUGCAUACAUGAGUCUUUAUCAGGUAUUGGAGUACCACAUGGAGUUCUUGGAGGCAUUUGGGUGCAUUUGGAGCUCAAAAGAAGUGUUUAAAGCGAUCAUUGGACGAGCAGAGCAGGGGAGCGAGGUUCCGCAGCGACGUCAUGAGGUAGCUCCAAAGCACCUCUCAGAGCGACCUAGCUGGAGCGACCCCGUGAAGUCGCUCGCCAUACUCACCCCGUGAAGCGACUUGCCCAGAGCGACCUCCCGGAGCGACAUCACGAAGUCGCUGUGUCCCACUUCUCAGAGCGACCUUCCUAAAGCGACGCCAUGAAGUCGCUCGCGUUCUCGUUACUCCGAACAGUCUUAGAUGACCCUGGAGCGACCUCUCAGAGCGACCUACCAAGGUCGCUCCCGAUCCAGAGCGACCCGUUGGAGCGACACACCAAAGUCGCUCGGGACCUCUCGCCCGGAGACACCAAAAAUCGGCCCUGGAGCGACUUUCCGGAGCGACACCUGCAAGUCGCUCCGCGUUAUUUUGCUGCCGAAAAUCAUGAUUUCUCGAGGACCUUUUUGCAAUUUAUUUUGGACGUUUUGCACUUGGAAAAACCUAUGUUUUAAACAUCUUUUGUAGCCACCAGGCAGACUAUCUUUGAUCUAUUGAAAAAUACACAAAAACUCUCUAGAGAAGUUCAUCUCUUGGAUUUUUGAUUGUUAUGUUCUUGUGUUCUUGUUGAUUUCUUAUCUAUUUCUCUACAUGAUUAAUCUGAAAUCCAAUAUGGGUUUAAGAGGAAUCAUGGAGAUUAGUGAGUAAUCACCUUUUGAAUUCAUGAGUUAGGGAGAUUAAGGGUGAUUAGGUUAGUUCUAGGAUGUUUUAGUGUAGAUCAUUUUUGUUCCUUGCUAGUAGAGUAUUCUUAAUGCAUCUUCUGAGUUGGUCACUCAAAAGUUGAUCAAUAGAUCUAAACGAUUAUUGGUUUGUCCAUAAUCAAAAGCCUUAAAAGAGUUAAAGGGGAAAAUUUUUCUGUUAUUUCUUGUUCACCCUUUUCAAUUUAAAUAAAUUUUUAUUUAAUAUAUACAACUUGCAUGUUGUCAGAAUGAAGAAGAGGGCUGGUCUUAUUUUCUGGAGCUCCCGUAAAUUUGUCACACGUGUGUGUUUUGGGAACCGGCCCCCGCUUUGAGGGUCGAGCUUUUCUAUAACCCUGUCCAGAGCAGUUUAUCAUUGACAAUAUUCACUCGCUUUUUUUUUAACUUUUUGGAAUACUAUAGUUUAGUUACGGGUCGGCGACCAUAACUAUCAUAUAGGAUCAGAUCCCCACCAAACUAUCACCCUAUCACCUAGUAUAAGAUCUCCAUGAACUAAAAAUUGUAAACUUAUUUCUCUCCGAAUUGAAAGUUACAAACUUAUUUUUUUAUUAACUGAUAAUUCGAAACUUAAUUAACCAUAAACCAUGGUUUGGACCGGUAUAUUAUUAACUAAACAAUAUUUAACCGGUUAAAUUUAACUAAACCAAAGAAAAACCAAUUUUAAAUAGAAAACACUACCCAAAAACAGUCUGAUCCGGUUUGUUUCUUCUUCACCCGACUCACACUUUUUUCAACCUCUCGUUGUUAGCCCCAAUUGCAAAACUAAAGUUCGAAGAUUUUUCUCAAAUCUUUAAUAUGUGAUUCACGACUCACGAGCUAUAUCUUGUGCUCUUAAUCUACCAUUAUUUUUCUUCUAUGUUUGAUCAAUCAUUGUGUUGAUGUGUCUAUUACACGGGCUAAUUCCAUUUAUAGAUUGAAUGGGUUUAGAUUCAAAGGAAAAGAAAAAGAGUUCGAAUUAUUGUUGAGUCAAAUUAUUAUUCUUGUUUUUUGGCUAAAGAAGAAGAAAUUGAAAAAGAAAAAAACAACUUGAGUCGGGUGAAGAAGAAAGAAACCCGGUAGGAUUGUCUCUCAGUCUGGUUUUUAUUUUAAAUUAUAUUUAUUUGGUUUAAUUCAUUUAAUCGGUUAAAGUUGUUUGGUUAAUAAUAUACCAGCCCAAACCAUGGUCUAUGUGUAAUUAGGUUUCGAAUUAUCGGUUAAUGGAGAAAUAACACUACAAGAAAACAUAAUCUUAACGAGGGCGGUUUUUCUCGCUAAUUCGUCGUAAAAAAGGCUUUACGACGAAUUAGCGAGGAAACGCGUUAGCUCGUUACACGUCUGUCGUAACACAUAUUUCCUCGCUAAUUCGUCGUAACUUAGCGAGGAAUAUAUUUCGUCGUAAAGACGAAGUAGGACGAUUUGUCGUAAAGACCACGUCAAUAUUCCACGUAAGGACGUCGCUAUAAUACCUCGUAAAUACCUCGAAAAUAGUUCCUCGUAACCUACACGUAAAUACCUUGAAAGAGUUUCCUCGGAAAAUACACGUAACAACCACGAAAUGAUUUCCUCGUAAAAUGGUCGUAAACUUUUCCUCGUUAUUUCCUCGUAAAUGAUUCCUCGUAAACUACUCGUUAAAUGUUUCUCGUCAUUUCCUCGUAAGGUUUCCACGUAAAGAGGUCGUACAUUGGCUACGAAUUUACUUCGUUUUUAUUAUUUUACAGAAUUUAAAAAUAUAAUUAAAAAAUAAUUAAAAUUAUUUAAUUUAAUAAUAAAUUAAAAUUCAAAAUAAAAAUAAAUCAAUAUGAAAAUAUUUUAUAUAUAAAUAAGUUUUGAAUUUAUAUAAUACAACAACCAAAAAAAAAAAAUAAGACAUGGAGAAGUAACCCUUGAUCGUGUCGGUUACGUCCGAUGCAAGACAUCCGUCAACCCCCCACCUGGAAAAUACAAAUUUAAAAUAUAAAUUAUUUUUAAUGUUAUAAAAGAAAUUUAAACGAAUUAAAAAAAAAUUUAAUGCAACAUACCACAACGUUCCGUCCGGUCGGUCUGGGUCGAUGACUGGUAAACCUUCUCUGCCUGGCAGACUGAGAAUGUCCUCUACAGUGUACUGCGAGUAAGGAGCACUCGGAGGCACCAUCAGAUCAGGAUGAAUAUCGGCGACCAUCGGAGGUGCCAUCGGAGGAGGCACAGGAGGAGGCAUCGGAGGAGGCACAUGAGGAGCCGAUGGUGCACUAGAAGAAGUAGACCCAGAGACUCUCUGAGUGUACUGAGUCUCGGGGACAGUCUCCUGGCCCGAAGAACUUGGAGCAGAAGAAGAGGCCGGGUCUAAACGACUACCCGGCUCACCGAAGAUCUCUCUGUAAUGGGCAGUAAGUCUUCCUUUUCGAACCUGGGAAAAAAAUGAAAUUUUUAAAAUUAACAUCAACAAUAUAUUUCCCAACAUUAUCCACCUAAUCAACACUAAAUAACAUAAAAUCCGCAAACCUAUCUAAAUUCCCUAUACAAACCACCUAAUAUAUCCUAAACUAACUAAAUUAGAGAGGAAUCAGAGAGGCUUACCAUUGCUACGAAAUGGAGAGGAAGUAGAGAGGAAGUAGAGAGGAAAGAAAGAGUGAGCGCUCGGGUGUAUAUAUAAGAUUACAUAUCGUCGCAAAUUCGUCGUAAGUUUACGACGAAAUAGCGAGCAGUUACAAAGGCCCGUGUUUUUUUUUACGAGGAAAGUGCGAGGAAUCACAAAGGCCCGUGUUUUUNNNNNNNNNNNNNNNNNNNNNNNNNNNNNNNNNNNNNNNNNNNNNNNNNNNNNNNNNNNNNNNNNNNNNNNNNNNNNNNNNNNNNNNNNNNNNNNNNNNNNNNNNNNNNNNNNNNNNNNNNNNNNNNNNNNNNNNNNNNNNNNNNNNNNNNNNNNNNNNNNNNNNNNNNNNNNNNNNNNNNNNNNNNNNNNNNNNNNNNNNNNNNNNNNNNNNNNNNNNNNNNNNNNNNNNNNNNNNNNNNNNNNNNNNNNNNNNNNNNNNNNNNNNNNNNNNNNNNNNNNNNNNNNNNNNNNNNNNNNNNNNNNNNNNNNNNNNNNNNNNNNNNNNNNNNNNNNNNNNNNNNNNNNNNNNNNNNNNNNNNNNNNNNNNNNNNNNNNNNNNNNNNACUAAAUAACAUAAGAUCCGUAAACCUAUCUAAAUUCCCUAUACUAACCACCUAAUCUAUCCUAAACUAAUCAAACUAGAGAGGAAUUAGGGAGACUUACCAUUGCUACGAAUUAGGGAGGAAGUGGAGAGGAAGUGGAGAGGAAAGACGGAGCGAGCUCGCUCGGGAUAUAUAUAAGAUUACUUGUCCUCGUAAUUUCCUCGUAAACUUACGAGGAAUUACAGAGGCCCGUACGACCAGUUACGACGAAAUAGCGACGAAAUACAAAGGCCCGCGUUUUCGUUAACGACGUUUUUACGACGAACUAGGUUACGUGGAAUUAAUGAGUUAACCAGUUACGAGGAAUUAGCGAGCCUAUAUUUUCUAUAAAUACCCACAACUUUCCUUCUCAAACCACACACAAACUCACAAAACACACCCUAUCUCAAAUCACAUUCCUCACUAAAAUACUAUUCAAAUUAUAAAUAUUUGAAAAAAAUAGGAAAAGGAUAAGAUAUUAGAAUUCAUGUGGGCGAGACUUACGUAUUAUAAUUGCUGGAAGUCUUGCCACAUUUUAUUCUGGUAUUUUGAUCAUUUUCCUUUUUUUCUAGUUUUUACACUACGAGGUAUUUACGACGAUUUAUGCUUACGUGGAAUUAACGUGUUUUAUGUUUAAAUCUUUUUACGUGGUCUUUACGACGAUUUCUGGUUACGUGGUCUUUACGAUGAUUUAUGCUUACGUGGUAUUUACGACGAUUUCAUCCUACGUGGAAUUAACGAGUGUUAUGUUUAAAUCCCUAGAAUCCCUGAACCCCUAAACCCGAAACCAAAAACCCGAAACCCCAAACCCCAAACCCGAAACCCGAAACCCCAAACCCCAAACCCCAAACCCCAUAUUCCUUAUUUUCUACUUCAUAUAUUCCAAACCCCAUCUUUAUUUUUAGGUUUCGUCGUUAUUUCCUCGUUGUCUUACGUUGUAUUUACGACGAUUUCAUCCUACGUGGUUUUUAUGACGAAUUCAUCGUACGUGGUAUUUACGAAGAUUUUGUCCUACGUGGAAUUAACGAGUCCCGCGUUCUGUAUUUUUAUAUUUCCUCGUUAUUUCCUCGUUGACCUACAAGUCCUUUACUACGAUUUUUUGUUACGUGGAAUUAACGAGUGUUAUGUUUAAAUCCCUUGAAUCCGAAACCCCAAACCCCAUAUUCCUUAUUUUCUACUUCAUAUACUCCAAACCCCAUCUUUAUUUCCAUUCCAAACCACAAUUCCCACAUUUGCUUAUUCAUAAAACAAACUCCCGGCAUUACCUUAUUCAUAAAACAAACCCCACAUUAUCUUAUUCAUAAAACAAACUCCCUCAUCUUAUUCAUAAAACAAAUACAUCAAUCGGAUACAUCGACAUUCUCGUCAUCACUAGAAACAUCAUCAUUUUCAUUAAACUCGUCUUCAACAGCUUCGUCUGUGGCAUCAUCGGUAAGAUCUUCGUACUCGUGAUUAUGCGGAUCAAUGAGAAGGAUGUCAUCAAUUUCUUGUUCAGGUUCCUCAACUUCAUUUAUCUGUUCUUCUUGCAAUGGUGGUUCUUCUCCACUGAUGAUUCGUCCUCGAGGUGUAACUUUGAUCACUGCUAACCAAUUUAUACCUGAAUCUCUCAUCCGAGGGUAUGGAAGGAAGCUAACUUGGUCUGCUUGUGAAGCUAAGAUGAAAGGCUCGAAUUUGUUGUACCUUCGUCCACCGUUGACAUCAACUACACCGAAUUUGUUAGACCGAACACCUCUGUUGACGACGGGGUCGAACCAUUCACAUUUGAAGAGGACGCAUUUCAGCUUCAGUAUCCCUGGAAAUUCGACUUCAAUAAUCUCCGUCAAGAUCCCGUAGAAAUCUGUUUCCCCUUUCACACAUAUUCCAUAGUUACUGGUCGCCCGCUGUCUACCAUAGUCAUAUGUAUGAAAAGUAUAGCCUCGUGUGAAAUACAUCUGUGAUGUGGUGACCUUUACAAGUGGAGAUUGAAUUACUUCGUGUAACCACUUAGGAUAAUCUGCAUCGUCGUCGUCAUAAUCAACCUGCAAAAAUAAAGAGAAUGUUAAUGAAAUACAGAUAAUGUAUGAAAAAAAAGUUUUAGUUAAUACCUGAUUCCGCAACCACUUAAUGAAGUGUUGAUCUUUCCUUUUGUCUACGUCACUUGUGGAUAUACCAGGAAAUGUUUCUUCGACUUGAGAAACAAAUAGGCUGUAAAAUCACAUUUUAUAGGAAUGAAUCUCUCGCAAUUAUACAAUUAAUUAUACUUAUAUGUGUUUCGAAGUGUCAAUAUAUGUUACCUUUCAAAAUAACGCAUCAAUGGAUCUUCGCAAUUGAGUAGAAUAUAGGUGUGUGCACUAUGAGCGUCUUCUUCACUCGACCACCAAACCUCUUUACACUUCCCACCGAGUCGCCCAAUCUGGCUAAAGAUGUCUGGAACACCAGCAACUGCAUAUGUUGGCGCAACACCACCAUCAUCAUAUCUUCUUGGAGCUCUUCUCCGUGUACGUACUUUUGACGCAAAGUAGUACGAUGUGAAGUGAGAAACUUCUUCCGUCAAACUUCCAGCAAUUAUAGAACCUUCAACUUUGGCGAGGUUCUUUGCUUUUCCCUUCAAAUAUUUCAUGGCUCGCUCAUACUGAUACAUCCAUCCGUAAUGUACAGGUCCACGAAGCAAUGCCUCAUAUGGGAGGUGGACAGCUAGAUGCUCCAUGACGUCAAAAAAUCCGGGAGGAAAUAUCUUCUCCAAGUUGCACAAUAAGAUGGGAAUGUUCUCCUGAAGCUGUUCCACAACUUCUUCUUUAAGAGUGCGUGUGCUCAGAUCCCUGAAAAAUGCUCCAAUGCCUUUUAUAUUCAAAAAAAAAUUAAACACAUUGUUAGUCAUAUAUUAUUUUGUAAAUUAUUGUGAUAUAAUACACUACGUACCUGCAAGUGCUUCAUGUACGUUUGUUGGAAGUAGCUCCGCAAAUGCAAAGGGCAGUAGUCGUUGCAUAAAUACAUGACAAUCAUGACUCUUCAUCCCGGAGAACUUUUGACCCUUUUCAACACAUCUAGAGAGAUUCGAAACAUACCCAUCGGGGAACUUCACUUCUGAUGCCACCCAGUUGAACAACACCGACUUUUUUUCUGAAGAUAAUCUGAAUAUCGGAACGGGAACUUGUCCAUUGCUUUUAAUAUGUAACUCGCUUCUUGAGCAAAUAUCCGGCAAGUCCAACCUCGAUUUUAUGUUGUCUUUUGUCUUCCCUGGGACAUUCAAUAUUGUAUUCAUGAUGUUCUCAAAGAAAUUCUUCUCUAUAUGCAUCACAUCGAGGUUGUGGCGCAGAAGAAGAUCCUUCCAAUAUGGCAACUCCCAAAAUAUACUCUUCUUGUGCCAGUUGUGAUGAACACCGUAAGAAUCUGGCAUAUUACGAGGGACAUGCCAAUUACCACCCCAACGAACUGUUUCGUUAGCUCCGUAGUAGUCGAUUUGCGCUUCAAUUUGUUCUCCAGUUAGAUAUGGAGGAGGAGUGUCUCUCACAACCCUUUUGUGCCUAAACAAAUUCUUGUUUCUUCGGUAAGGAUGGCCAAUGGGAAGAAAUCGACGGUGACAAUCAAACCAACUUGUCUUCCUACCAUUCUUCAGUUGAAACGCAUCUGUCGUUCCAUUACAAUAUGGACAAGCUAAUCUCCCAUGUGUAGUCCAUCCAGACAACAUCCCAUAGGCAGGGAAAUCACUUAUGGUCCACAAAAGCAUCGCUCGCAUCGUAAAAUUCGUCUUCGUUGAACAGUCAUACGUCCUCACCCCUGUUGACCACAAAUCCUUCAACUCUUUUAUCAGUGGUUGUAGGAAAACAUCCAGGGACCUUUUUGGAUGGUUCGGACCAGGUAUUAAUAUGGUCAAGAAUAGUAACUCCCGUUGCAUGCACAUCUCCGGUGGCAGGUUGUAUGGAGUAAGAAAGACUGGCCACAAUGAAUAUUGUCUCCCUGACAUUCCGAAUAAGUUUGUAACUUUCAAUUCGGGGAGAAAUAAGUUUACAACUUGUAGUUGAUGGAGACCUGACACUAGGUCAUAGUUUGGUGGGGAUCUGAUGCUAUAUGAUAGUUAUUGUUGAUACAUGAUUUAGCACUAAAUCCCUCCCGCCGAAAGAAUAAGAAAACCGGUUAACGACUACUUUGAGUUAAGCUUAAACGGGCCUAGGAGAGCUCAUAACGCGACGUCGGCCAGCCCGAGGUUCUUUGGAUAAUUAAUGAGUCAAAGAUCAAGAGGAUUACUCUCCACAUAUAUCGGAGUCGAUAGAUAUAAAGAAUGAGUCAUAGCUAAAAAAGGGGAGCACUUGCAACAAACCACCAACCAUGUUACGAGCUUCUUGCAACAACCUGAUUCUCAUAUAAAAUAGGCCUUGGGAGACGAGAAGAAGGGGACAUCUGAUAAACAAAAGAAUGAAGGAAACAUUAAACGUCAAGAGAGACUUUGGUCUCAGCAAGACCUCUUGAACGAGAGGACGUCUCUGAAAUCACCAACAACGAGAUUGUAUUGAACAAAGGACGCGAUUUCUUAUUCAUUGACAUCGAUCUCUAGAUAUAUUCAUAAAUCAGCCGCUGUAAGUCUUUCUAUGACAUAUAAACGAACCUCUUCUGAGGUUAAAACUAACGACGCCCACCAAUGAACCCGACAUCUCGUCCGAGACAGAUGAAACCGACAUCUCUCUCGAGAUGAUGAUAAUCGAACUACGUUAUGACUUGAUCCCUUAACGGGUACGUAGGCAGCUCGAUCUCGAGUUCAGUCACGAUCCUUCCUCCUCCCGAUAUCUUUAUGAUAUUCGACCUGCGAAUAUAGUCCAUUUUCGCCGACUUAUACCUGAUUACAUCGUUGUGUUCUGAGGAUAUCGUUGCCCACAUUAUCUUCCCUAGUUUUACUUUCAAACAUUAUCAAAUACUUAGUGUAGAUUUUAGGAUCUACAGUUAUGAUUGGGAAAUAGAUCGUCGACCAUUUACUUACAUAUAUAGUAAACGGACUAUGCUCCAGAUAGUAUCCUUAAUGAGUGCAUACAUUAAUUAAGAGAGUGUACAUGCAAUAUUCAACAUGUUUGAAAGAUUUGAUAUGUAUGAGCAUCCUGAUUAUUAUUAUUUGUUAUUUUGUUAUUUAACAGUGGUUUAAGCUUUGUAGAUUAUCAGCUAGAGCCGACAUCUCACUAAUUGCAACCUUAUAUUCCACUUGAUACAAAGAGUUUGGGGGAAGAACUAAUACAAAGAGCAGCUGUCCAUAUACAUAGUUCUUUUCUUUUAAGCAUAUAUACAUUACAUCAAGAUAUAUUACAUAUAUAUAAGUUUCACACCUGCGAACAGUAAAUAGAAUUUGAAUCCAUACAACGUUUGAUCAAGAGUACUUACUAGGUGUCCUGAUGAGCAUGCGGCUUAUACAUAGUUUAUAACUGACUUACCGGAUAAUCAACCUUUGAUAUCCUGGUAAUGAAGAUCCGACCAGAUACAAGCAGCUGAAACAAAUCCCAUAGUUAAAUAACUUUACUUGAAUCAACAUAGAUAACACAUAAGCCCAAGAAGCAGCUACGAGGCAAAAAGAACAAGAGCAAGACUUUAGCAAGUCUUCACUGUUAAAUUAUGACAUUGAGGCAAUACCUCCCUUAUCUCGGUAUCACUGCUUAUUAUAAUAGUACCAUCAGUUUGCUGAUCCACGUAUCUGUCACCAUGUUCAAAACAGAUCAUCUCUCUUCUUUGGAAGAUUGGUUAAAUCACACAAAGCGAGACGGGGGUUUCUUCGGAAACUGAUUUGCUGCUAUCUUCACUCAUUUUACACAAAAGGAAAGAUCGAUACUUUCAAUAAUUCAAACUAUGUUGAAUUGAAUUAAGAUGAUAAGCACCCGGUGGGAGAUCUGAAGAGUGGAGAAAUUAGGGUUUUUGAUUUCGUUGAGGCCGAAAACCGUCUGGAUUUUUUUUCCGAUCUCUAUUUUUUUAACAUCAGUUUUGCGAACGUUAUUUGGCUAGCGACGCGUGGUCUCACUGUAUACGAAGUUCAAUGAAGCCCAAUAUCAUUAAAAAAAUUCAAGCCCAUUAUAUUAAUAGAUUAGUGUACCUGUUAUAAACAUUUCAUCAACAACAAAAAAUAUCUUAAAUUCUUAGUAUUGUUUUUUAUUGUCAACACACAACAGUUCUCACAAUUCUUAGUUUUUUUUUGGUGCAACUCACACUUCUUAGUUAACUGAAACUUUAAACAAUGAUGGAAGAUAGAAAUGUUAUAAAUUUUAUCUAAUCAUAUGUUUUUUUGUGAACUAACUUUGAUAAACAUCUUCUAUCACUAACUUUUACCUACAGUAAGAAUCUUGUGUAAGCUCUCAUACGAAAGCUUUGUAACAUUAUGUAAUUCUCUUGUAAGUAAAAAUAUGAUGUACAAAUGUACAACAAAUAAUUUUCUUCUUUACCAACAGUUUUUCCUUGUUAAAUGGCUUACUUGAAAGAAAAAAAUGUUUAAUAGGAAUUAAACACGAACCAAAGAUACAAACAAAAAAGGUAGAUGUUAGAAAAGCAGGAGAAAAGAGCCAACAUAGAAAUAGAUAUCAGUCUAUCACAGCUGAAGUAUGAAUAAUGCCAAACAUUAGGCAAGGACGAUGAAAUUGUUUAUAAAUUUCUCUUCUUCAUUAACAUCACAACAGAAAAGUUAAAAUUGCAAGUUUAUUUUAUAUAGUUUCUUAUAUGUGUCUAGAGACUCAACUAGAGUAUUACGCACAAAAAAAAAAUCAACAUUUUGUUUUUGUUGCAUGAACAUAAGGUGAGUCAAAUGACUCAAAUAGCUCAAUAAUCACCGGAGGUAGUGUUUGCGGAGACUGGCACAACCACGGAGUGGUUAGUCCCGGAAGAAGCCCAUGGCAUUGGCGAAGUGGCGAGUAGAGGCGAUACCGUUAGAACGUGUGAGGAUUACAGUGGCAGUGUUGCGACCAGGAUCAGGGAAUUGGCAGUUGGAGAUAGGACUAUUGACGAGCACCGCCAGACAUUGCUGGUCCUGUCGGUCUCCUUCGACGGCAACUCUGUAUCUUCCUCGGCGUCCUGUCACCGCCUCACCCACAACCUCCGAUUUCAAUGUCACACUGUCUUUGCACACUAUUUUCACUUUUGCCCCUAUUAUUCAAACAGCACCCCCAAAUAUUCAAAGUUUUAAUCCGUGUUUCUAACAAUGUAACAUACAACAAAAAAAUUGAGUAAGGACUCAAGGUAUAUAUGAUUAGUAGAAGAAAAUAUAAGUAGCCGAAAAUAUAAUCGUUAGUCUUACUUUCAAACGCCAGUCUAUAUAUUUGAGAUUGAUGUAAUUUUCAUGUAAAAUACAAUAUUGUGUCACUUUGCAUGUUACUAUCAGAUCCAAAUGAUUAAUUGAUAAUUACAUAGUGAAAAAUACGAGGCGAACGAGUAUGAAAAUAUACGCACCGGUGAUAUAUUUGGUGAGGAUUGUCUCAAAUCCAAAGCGGCAAGUGUCGCAGUAAACACAUCCUUCUAUAUGAAAUGGUGUUCCAGCCGCCAUGGCCGCAAGUGGCAGUAGCAAAACACACAUCACGGCGAGCAGAGGUGUAUAUGAUCUAGCCAUCUACAUAAACAACUGAAGAAUGAUACUAUAAUUUUUGGAGUUUGUUUUUUUUUUUGAGAGUUUGUUGCUUGUGAAGGGGUUUUGUGAAUUAAUUAUUUGCGAGCUACCUAGUAUAUAUAAGAAGGAAGCUGAAAGGCACAUGUAUCAAAGAUGUAAGUGUAUCGCAUCGUGUGCGAAUUAAAAAAAAAGCUUGCUUAGUGUCGGCUAGAUCCAAUUGCGGCUCCUCCUCCGCCUUCUACGGCAAAUGUGGAUAGAGUUUGUGUUGCCUCCUCCACAUGUCUAACUCGUACGGUUCUUGUUAAUUCUAGUCUACGUUUUAAGCUUUUUUUUUUAACAACCAAUGCUUAUAUUAAAAUUAAACGCCCAAUGGGCUAAGUCGAUUACAACCGAAGAGAUAUUCGACGGUAAAAUGAUAAGCAAACAUAACUAAAACAUAAAAAAGAUAGAUGUGGCUAAGGAAAAAAGAACCCCGUAGAAAAUCUUCGCUUGUUGUCCUAAAGCCCGCGUUUGAAAGAACAUACAAAAGUCGACAUUGACGUUGAAGAACCCAACCAAUGGGUUUUGAGAACAAUUGAAAACCGUCUCUGAAAAUGCAUGGAUCUCCCGACGUUGCAGUGACACUGAAGUGCAGAGAAGUUGCCGGAGUAGGACUACACACAUAAUCGUCGACGGUACAACCGCUAAAGAAAAACAGUUAACAAAGUCAGGAGAAGGCAUUGACAAUGAUUGCUUGGCCGGCAAGAGAUGCAAAAUCCAAACAUGGUGAACAUCCACAAGAUCGAGGCCGCCUUAGUAACUACAUAGUUACAGGUGAACAUUGACAACCUCUAUGUUUCGAGCUACGGUUUAUUUUUUUGGACAAGUAUAGAUUGUUAUUUUCAGGAUUAUUUUCACUAGUUAUUAGUUUAUCAUUUCUUCAGUCUACGUGAAAAGAACAAAACAUGGUGAACAUCUACAAGAUCGAGGCCGCCUUAGUAACUACAUAGACAGACUUGUCAGGGACCGCAUUGACUCACUCCGAGGCUCUGCAAAUGGCAGCUUUGACACACACUUGCAGGCUUGGUUUACAAGCUGAUGAGAGAAGAUGAGAGCUUUAGAAUCAGUUUUUUAAAUAGUUUCUAUAAACACAACUCAAACAAAGUUACAUAGGUUGUAAAAAAAAAAUUUGAUCAGAAUAAAUUUAACAUUCAUUCAAAAAUAACAAAAAAAAUCGUUUUCACAGAGUUUUCUAGACUGAAUCAAAGGCGUUGAUUUUUAUUUUUAAGUAGAAGACCAAGAAAACAAUAUGUUUUUAUUAGAUAAAAAUUAUUAAAUUUCCUCUUCAAAUUGCGUAAUGGCUUUUCCAUACCAUGUUGAUCCAUGAUUUUGUAUCGUAGGUUGGUUAUGUACAGUAUUAUUUAAUUUAAAUAAAAAUUAUAAAUAGUGAUGACUAAUUAAUUUUGUCUUGAUUAAAUUCAGUUUUGACGUUAACCGUGGCUUAUAAUAACAGGAAAAACGUUGGUACUUGGAAGGUGAAAGUGACCGCGGGAUUAGUAAAAGUCUUGUCCAUUUGAUGGUCGGUUACAUUAGCAGCAAUUGAUCUUAUGAACAAGACUUAUUGGGCCCAGAGGAACCGAUGACAGCCACUACACGUCUUAAAUACAAACAAAAUAGUCCACAAAAGAGAAAGCGCCAGAGAGUCCCCAAGUCUGGAAAGCCGAUAAGUCAACACGGAACUCUCCUUCCUCCAAGUCAGGCAAAGAAGCCGUAUGAGAAACAUUCUUUGAACAUGUGAUUAAGGCCCUGUUCGUUACGGAAUCGCUGCGGCAGCGACCAGAAAAUUAACACUAAUGAAGAGCGAAGUAGCUAUGGUGGAACAGAAAUAGUCGCUGGAAGUGAUUUCCGGAUAACUCCGUGACGUCUUUUAUGGACGCCAAUUUUUUCAGCGACGUCUCUUGUUUGCCGCUGCGACACUAAAUAGCUCCUUCACCCACGUUUCACUCCAUUAAUUAAUAGAAUCACUGUUAUAUUUUCUGUCGCUGCUGCUGCCGCAGCGGUUCUGAAACGAACAGGGCCUAAGGAGGGAGGAGUACGAAGAUGAGGUGGCGAUGAGGAUGCAUGCGUGGGACAUGGAAGGGAUGCCUCUAGGGAAGGAGUCCCCAAGUCUCCUUUGCAAAGUAAGCCGUAUUCUUCUUCGCCGUGAAGCAAACACAGUUUUUUUAUUGUUGGGUGCAAAUGUUAGAAGCAAACAAAGUUGUUUUGGGUCAAAGUGCAAACACAGAUUUUAACCGAACAGAGGGAUACACAAGCAAGCUCGAAGUAAUUCUCUGUCGACAAAGCAAGGUCCAAAUUUGAAAGUGUCUUGCAUAGAUUUUUUUUUUUUUUAGUUUUUUUGGUCAAACAACAAUGCAUUCAUUCAUUCAAACAUAAAAGUGUUAUCCUCCAACAGAGGAGUUUACAGAAAGCAGAGUGAGAGCAGACUUUGCCACCAAGUCAGCCUCGCCAUUAAAGGUCCUAGAGAUAAAGUGAAAAGAAAUCCGAUCAAAGUACGACAAAGCAUGAUAGAUAUCAAACAUGAUACCGAACAGUUCAGGUUGAGUGGCUUCCUUCUUCGCUAUUAUUCAAACAGCACCCCCAAAUAUUCAAAGUUUUAAUCCGUGUUUCUAACAAUGUAACAUACAACAAAAAAAUUGAGUAAGGACUCAAGGUAUAUAUGAUUAGUAGAAGAAAAUAUAAGUAGCCGAAAAUAUAAUCGUUAGUCUUACUUUCAAACGCCAGUCUAUAUAUUUGAGAUUGAUGUAAUUUUCAUGUAAAAUACAAUAUUGUGUCACUUUGCAUGUUACUAUCAGAUCCAAAUGAUUAAUUGAUAAUUACAUAGUGAAAAAUACGAGGCGAACGAGUAUGAAAAUAUACGCACCGGUGAUAUAUUUGGUGACGAUUGUCUCAAAUCCAAAGCGGCAAGUGUCGCAGUAAACACAUCCUUCUAUAUGAAAUGGUGUUCCAGCCGCCAUGGCCGCAAGUGGCAGUAGCAAAACACACAUCACGGCGAGCAGAGGUGUAUAUGAUCUAGCCAUCUACAUAAACAACUGAAGAAUGAUACUAUAAUUUUUGGAGUUUGUUUUUUUUUUUGAGAGUUUGUUGCUUGUGAAGGGGUUUUGUGAAUUAAUUAUUUGCGAGCUACCUAGUAUAUAUAAGAAGGAAGCUGAAAGGCACAUGUAUCAAAGAUGUAAGUGUAUCGCAUCGUGUGCGAAUUAAAAAAAAAGCUUGCUUAGUGUCGGCUAGAUCCAAUUGCGGCUCCUCCUCCGCCUUCUACGGCAAAUGUGGAUAGAGUUUGUGUUGCCUCCUCCACAUGUCUAACUCGUACGGUUCUUGUUAAUUCUAGUCUACGUUUUAAGCUUUUUUUUUUAACAACCAAUGCUUAUAUUAAAAUUAAACGCCCAAUGGGCUAAGUCGAUUACAACCGAAGAGAUAUUCGACGGUAAAAUGAUAAGCAAACAUAACUAAAACAUAAAAAAGAUAGAUGUGGCUAAGGAAAAAAGAACCCCGUAGAAAAUCUUCGCUUGUUGUCCUAAAGCCCGCGUUUGAAAGAACAUACAAAAGUCGACAUUGACGUUGAAGAACCCAACCAAUGGGUUUUGAGAACAAUUGAAAACCGUCUCUGAAAAUGCAUGGAUCUCCCGACGUUGCAGUGACACUGAAGUGCAGAGAAGUUGCCGGAGUAGGACUACACACAUAAUCGUCGACGGUACAACCGCUAAAGAAAAACAGUUAACAAAGUCAGGAGAAGGCAUUGACAAUGAUUGCUUGGCCGGCAAGAGAUGCAAAAUCCAAACAUGGUGAACAUCCACAAGAUCGAGGCCGCCUUAGUAACUACAUAGUUACAGGUGAACAUUGACAACCUCUAUGUUUCGAGCUACGGUUUAUUUUUUUGGACAAGUAUAGAUUGUUAUUUUCAGGAUUAUUUUCACUAGUUAUUAGUUUAUCAUUUCUUCAGUCUACGUGAAAAGAACAAAACAUGGUGAACAUCUACAAGAUCGAGGCCGCCUUAGUAACUACAUAGACAGACUUGUCAGGGACCGCAUUGACUCACUCCGAGGCUCUGCAAAUGGCAGCUUUGACACACACUUGCAGGCUUGGUUUACAAGCUGAUGAGAGAAGAUGAGAGCUUUAGAAUCAGUUUUUUAAAUAGUUUCUAUAAACACAACUCAAACAAAGUUACAUAGGUUGUAAAAAAAAAAUUUGAUCAGAAUAAAUUUAACAUUCAUUCAAAAAUAACAAAAAAAAUCGUUUUCACAGAGUUUUCUAGACUGAAUCAAAGGCGUUGAUUUUUAUUUUUAAGUAGAAGACCAAGAAAACAAUAUGUUUUUAUUAGAUAAAAAUUAUUAAAUUUCCUCUUCAAAUUGCGUAAUGGCUUUUCCAUACCAUGUUGAUCCAUGAUUUUGUAUCGUAGGUUGGUUAUGUACAGUAUUAUUUAAUUUAAAUAAAAAUUAUAAAUAGUGAUGACUAAUUAAUUUUGUCUUGAUUAAAUUCAGUUUUGACGUUAACCGUGGCUUAUAAUAACAGGAAAAACGUUGGUACUUGGAAGGUGAAAGUGACCGCGGGAUUAGUAAAAGUCUUGUCCAUUUGAUGGUCGGUUACAUUAGCAGCAAUUGAUCUUAUGAACAAGACUUAUUGGGCCCAGAGGAACCGAUGACAGCCACUACACGUCUUAAAUACAAACAAAAUAGUCCACAAAAGAGAAAGCGCCAGAGAGUCCCCAAGUCUGGAAAGCCGAUAAGUCAACACGGAACUCUCCUUCCUCCAAGUCAGGCAAAGAAGCCGUAUGAGAAACAUUCUUUGAACAUGUGAUUAAGGCCCUGUUCGUUACGGAAUCGCUGCGGCAGCGACCAGAAAAUUAACACUAAUGAAGAGCGAAGUAGCUAUGGUGGAACAGAAAUAGUCGCUGGAAGUGAUUUCCGGAUAACUCCGUGACGUCUUUUAUGGACGCCAAUUUUUUCAGCGACGUCUCUUGUUUGCCGCUGCGACACUAAAUAGCUCCUUCACCCACGUUUCACUCCAUUAAUUAAUAGAAUCACUGUUAUAUUUUCUGUCGCUGCUGCUGCCGCAGCGGUUCUGAAACGAACAGGGCCUAAGGAGGGAGGAGUACGAAGAUGAGGUGGCGAUGAGGAUGCAUGCGUGGGACAUGGAAGGGAUGCCUCUAGGGAAGGAGUCCCCAAGUCUCCUUUGCAAAGUAAGCCGUAUUCUUCUUCGCCGUGAAGCAAACACAGUUUUUUUAUUGUUGGGUGCAAAUGUUAGAAGCAAACAAAGUUGUUUUGGGUCAAAGUGCAAACACAGAUUUUAACCGAACAGAGGGAUACACAAGCAAGCUCGAAGUAAUUCUCUGUCGACAAAGCAAGGUCCAAAUUUGAAAGUGUCUUGCAUAGAUUUUUUUUUUUUUUAGUUUUUUUGGUCAAACAACAAUGCAUUCAUUCAUUCAAACAUAAAAGUGUUAUCCUCCAACAGAGGAGUUUACAGAAAGCAGAGUGAGAGCAGACUUUGCCACCAAGUCAGCCUCGCCAUUAAAGGUCCUAGAGAUAAAGUGAAAAGAAAUCCGAUCAAAGUACGACAAAGCAUGAUAGAUAUCAAACAUGAUACCGAACAGUUCAGGUUGAGUGGCUUCCUUCUUCGGUAGAGAGACGAGGGAGAGCGAAUCGGUUAGAACGGCCAGGGAUCGGACGUUUGAAUAGACGGAUGUAACAACCGCGAGGCGAACAGCUAUGGCCUCUGCCAUAAGAGCUGAAGAUACAUGGGAGCGAGGCUCGCUCAGGUUUGGUAUGCGCUUUAGGUUAUUUCCUGAGAAAAUGCCUCCAAUUCCACAGCCACCGGAAGAACUGUCCCACGCUGCAUAAAUCUGAAAUAGUUUUACACCCGAAGCCUCCCGAGACGGAGAGUAUUAAGAUUAUACAACGUACACCCUUUACAAGGGGAUAAUUACACAUCUUGUUUGUUUUAAUUAUAUGUUUUGGAUUUUAUUUAUUCGCCGAUUAAAGGUAACUAAUUAAGCAGUGGGAGCGUUACCGGAAGAUUGAUGUCGGAGAUUUGUCCAGGUGACACCUCCAUAUAAUCAGCUUCGGCUCGCACAAGAUUACUCUUCUCCAUCUGUAACAUAAAAUACAUAUUACCCUUGAGCAAGUAAAAGUAAGAACUAUCUUGUGCGAGUAACCUGGUUAUUUAAUCACCACUGGACCCUUGAGCAAGUAAAAGUAAGAACUAUAUACUUGAACUGUGCCAAUCGGAUCGAAACUUAAACCGUAACAAAAAAAAAACUUUAGUUACCUGGCUAGCCAAAACAUGGUUCUCCUCUUCCAGCAACUUCUCCUGGUUUAAAGAUCAACACAUCAAUUUACUCAUAUAUAAAGUUUAUAGACUUAACUUCAGAUUUUUAAUUCAAAACAUUCUAGUGGUCCUGAAAAGACUAGGAUACAUUGGCAAUAGGUUAGAGAUAGGCUUGCGGCCUCAUGAAGCAGACUUAGAUAAACUAAGACAACACGACCAUAAUAUAACUAAAGUGCUAGCUAUAAACUUGGAAGCAUAUAUCUAACCUUUUCUUUAAGGUUCUCGACAAGCUUCAACAUUAGUUCUGUCUGCAACAAAGUAAUUAAAUCUAAGCGCACGGUUGUUCUUGAAAAACAAAGUAAGAAAAGAGAAGACAUCACGGAAGUAACGUACCUUCCUAGCUCUUGUUACGGAGAGGGCGUUCUCAAGGUGUUCCUCCAGCUGAACCAGGGAACCCACACUUACAUUAUCGACAUUUGAUUCCUCAAGCUUGCUGCAUAUAUUCAUAGAUUGACAAGAAACCCUAAUUCCUCUGUGAUCAAAGGAGAGAAGAGUUUUAGUUAGUAUUAACCUUUCCACAAGUUCCAGUAGCUCAUGGUGUGAACCACAGUCCAAAGCUUUUGACUGACGAUCCUGUCCAUGGAGAAGUAAUAUAAGCUUAAAAAUCUGGUUGUGCAUGAGGAUCCAUCAUCUCAUAUAUAGGGAUCACUAAGGGAACUAAUAUAUAAUAAAUGGAUUAAUACCACAAUUCCUAAAACAAGAUCUCCACAAAUUUAAGGUGCUAAACAUGUGUUUUACCCACUCCUAUCCAAUUUAAUGAUCAUCAAUCUCUGUAUAACCAAUUUGAUGAUCUUGAAAACAAACUUUUGAUAACUACAGCACCAAAAUAGUAAUUAUAUGUGUACCGUUAAGUGCGGGCAUGCCAAUACAUUCUAACACCCCCCACCCCACAAAAAAAAUCAAACCUACAUGAAUUGCUACUGAUCGGUAGAAACUAUAUAGGCAUUUGGUAAAUUUAAUCCUAAGAAACUACAUCAAAUAGAAGAUUAGUGUCGCCUGUAUUACCAAGGCUUUAAGAUCAUCACCAUGUUGCUUUCCAUAUCGAUCAAGGAUCUUGACCAGGCUGGAGAGAAGACGAGAAAAAAUCAAAGUAUGUUAGGAUCAAAACUACCAGCUAACCCUUGAAAGAAUGAACUGGAAACUAUGAAACAUGUAUAGGGCACAGAAGACAAUUAGAGACAAAAGUUCAAUUUUCACACACACAGUUUUCAUUAACAUUCCAGAAAAAUUAAUAUUUACGUUUAAGCAGAACCACAUUUGGUUUUCCAUUUCUUAUUUUAUAACUUUCACUCUUAUGCUUUCUAAGCAGUAUUUUAAUGGUCAGAUGAUCUUUUAAUCUCUUCCAAGGCGUGUUCCAAAAAAACCUCUUCCAAGGAAAAGAGGAACUCUAGUAUUUACCACGAAUUACCCUAAGUUUGGUUGUCUCAUGAAUCUUAUGGCUUCACAUUUAAAUUGUAAACUGAUAUAACGAAAAAGAAAUUGUCACUCAAGGAUAUUGUCCAUCGACAUUUUAGUAAUUAGAAAACUAGAACAUGCAAACGCAAUCGUAAAUGCAAACAAACAAUUAAGGCGUAGAGGUAAUCCAUAGAAGCAACAGCUGAACACGGUAAAAAAAUCUUAUUUAUGACUUUAUAGAAGUCCCAGCAAAUUUGAAAAACAGUUCCACUAAUUCAACAGUUUUGUUAAAAGGUUUCAAUUCCACCGUGAAGUUAAGCUCUUUGCAACAAAAUCAAGGAUGCACAAUUGCGUUAUUGAGUAACUAAAGGUCAAAUUCCAGGUUCUAAAAGCCUUUCUUCUUUUGCUCAACAACUAAUCUCGAUUAGCUAUUCCAAGGCUGGACCUAACUAAUAUUCAGUGUGAGGAGUGAACAAGUAUUAAAUAAUUGAGACAUGACCAGCGAUCUUCACUAACAUCGCCAAACCUGUACAAUCAGUUGGUUAAUAUUAUAGGGUUAAGCUAACACUUCACCAAAUUUAAAUUUUGACAAGGGGUUGGAAUUUUCUCCAUGAAGAAAGGUUUUGGUGAGGUGGUUGGUUUCCAAGAGGCACCAAAGGAAAUACGUUAUGUUAUUGUCAAUGCCUACAACAAGAAACACAACGAGAUGCAAGGUUGUGUGAUCGUACAUUUCCAUAACAAAAGCUACAAUGUUGUGGGUUGUCAAUUCAAAUGAACAAAGCUACAAAGUUCGAUUAAAAGCUAUCAUCCAAUUACAUAAUGUAGCAUAUGCAUGUGCCGUAACUACUAGAGUGCGAAACUAAACGCUUGGGAUAAUCUUAUAAUAACAAAUCAAUAAAAGGGAGAAAAACUUCUAGAAAAUCAUUUAUACCUUAUAUAUUUUAGUCCAUAGUCGCACACUGGCAUACCUUAAACCAGACUUGCUGAUCUAUUAAUAUACCAUCAAUCCCACUAACUUUAUCUACAUGGGUUUGCAUUGUAUAUUUGUAUUGUACGAAAAUCCAAGAGAAAACUAAAUUUAAUCUAUUCUAUUAAAACAUCAACAUGACAUAUUGAUAUAGGUACGGUCCAACUAUUUUAAUAGAAUAUAUUAAAACUUUUUAUUAAUCAUUUAAGAGAAAUAUUAUACAAAAAUACAAAUAUAACUAAAAACAAUUUUUUUUAAAAAAUGUAAAACAAAAAAUAUAUCCACCCUUUAAAAAAACGGGUCACCCUUUAAAAAUACGGGUCAGAAUCUAGUCGGUCUUAAAAUAGACCAAUUAGUGUACAUUAUGUGUGAGACAAAGAGUUAUAUAUGCACACAACGCUUCCGAUUAAAAGAACCGCAAUCGAUACUAGAUCAAAUAAAAGUAACUAACAGUGAGUCUGUGUUUUCCAGAAGCUACCAAAAUUCUUUUUUUUUACUGAAAAGACUACCAAAAUUCAAAAGUACUAUCUUUAUGCAAAUUAUUAAGAAUCAGUUAGGAAACUUUAUAUUGGUACGCUUCAAGUAAUAACCUCACGGUAUAAAGAGAAAUUACAAGAAUUGAUCUACAAUAAUCUACACUAUCUAUUAUUCAGCAUCAACCUCACAGCGAUUCUAUAGAUCUCCCCCAAGUGCAUUUCAUUGCAUACAAAUCUGAGAGAUCCAAUAGAUUUAAUUACUCUACAAAGAGAAACAUGAAUCAACAAUUAUUUUGACAUAAAACUCUUCUGAAACAUAAGGAGUUCCUAAAGCUAAAAAGCUGAUGAACUAACAAUCAAAGAUGGAUAUAAACUUCACGAAGUAACAUCAAGUAUGCAUCACAGCGUGUCAAAGAUCUUGAAGGACAUGCAAUUUUUUUUUGAAAUAAAAAAAAAAUCCAUGCAGAAAAGUUGUAACAUUGUUCGUCCUUCGAUUUGGUUGUCUCAUGUAUCUAGCAACACACAAACCAAGAAAACCACACAAGAUUCGCAGGAAAUAUUUUUUAAAAAUAAUUAUAUUUUUUUCUGAAAAAAAGUUAGUAAUUAACAAUAAUAAUGGAAAACCCAGAAUAGUAAAAGUCGUACUUAACACCGGAGGAGAAGCUGUAGAGUUUUCCGGAGGCGGAGACGACAAGAAGAGCGACGGAUGCGUCACAGAGAACGGAAAGCUGACGAGCUUUCUCGAUGAGACCGUUGCGUCGUUUGGAGAAGGUAACUUGUCGGCUACUUUUGUUCUCAAUUGGCUUGAUUUCAAGUUUCUUUCUCCCCAUGGCUUCUGUCUCCAACAGGGCUUUGCGCCCUAAUUUGAUCUUGAGGUCCGGUUUCCACUAGCC